RNAcentral lists this ribosomal RNA (134 nucleotides) under uncultured eukaryote. RNAcentral's name for it is "partial small subunit ribosomal RNA". It matches the Rfam family "Eukaryotic small subunit ribosomal RNA", at positions 1651 to 1784 of the family's 1831-position model. The record is from RNAcentral.
CCCUGCCAUUUGUACACACCGCCCGUCGCACCUACCGAUUGAAUGAUUCGGUGAAAAUUCCGGACUGAUGCCAAGACACCCUCGGGUGAUUUGAUAUUGGGAAGUUAUUUAAACCUCAUCAUUUAGAGGAAGGU